GAGCAACUAUGACCGAUAACCAAAAGGCCUGGUGGCAGCAAUGGACAGACACAGCCAAUGUCAAACAUCUGAAGCUGCUGAACACGCAUGAGCCCUACAGGCCAGAGGAACACGUGCUCAUCAACCGCCGGGACAUCACUAGCAAAAAGGAUGCCUGGGACAUGCAGGAGUUCAUCACUCGCAUGUAUAUCAAGCAGCUGUUACGACACCCGGCCUUCCAGAUGUUGCUGGCCGUGCUGCUGGUGGUCAAUGCCAUCACCAUCGCCCUCCGCACCAAUUCCGUCCUUGACCAGAAACACUAUGAGUUGUUCUCUACCAUAGAUGACAUUGUGCUGACCAUCCUUAUCUGUGAGGUUCUCCUCGGCUGGCUCAAUGGCUUCUGGAUUUUCUGGAAGGAUGGCUGGAACACCCUCAACUUUCUUAUCGUCUUCAUCUUGCUCAUGGGGUUCUUCAUUAACGAACUCAGUGUCAACAGUAUCACCUACACCCUCAGGGUGCUUCGUCUGGUACACGUGUGCAUGGCAGUGGAGCCCCUGGCCCGGAUCAUCCGCGUCAUCCUGCAGUCGGUGCCCGACAUGGCCAAUAUCAUGGCCCUCAUCCUCUUCUUCAUGCUGGUGUUCUCUGUGUUUGGAGUCACACUCUUCGGUGCAUUCGUGCCCACGCAUUUCCAGAACAUACAGGUUGCCCUGUACACCCUCUUCAUCUGCAUCACCCAGGAUGGCUGGGUGGACAUCUACAGUGACUUCCAGAUGGAGAAGAGGGAGUAUGCGAUGGAGAUCGGAGGUGCCAUCUACUUCACCAUCUUCAUCACCAUCGGUGCCUUCAUUGGCAUUAACCUGUUCGUUGUGGUGGUGACCACCAACCUGGAGCAAAUGAUGAAGGCAGAAGAGCAGGGGCAGCAGCAUCAAAUAACCUUCAGUGAGACAGGCGUAGAGGAGAAAGACGACAGUAACGAGCUGUCACUGGUGCACUGUGCAGUCGUCCGCUUGGAGAAAUCUGGUCACCCCCAGGAACCGCUUGUGGGGGGUCCACUGUCGAACCUCUCGGAAAACACGUGCGACAACUUUUGCUUGGUGCUCGAGGCAAUACAGGAGAACUUGAUGCAGUACAAGGAGAUCCGAGAUGAGCUCAACACGUAGGGGGGGUACUGGGGGUACCCCCACGUCCCGUGAGUCAGGGCUGGGCGGUGCCUCAGCUUCUUCUGGCCUCACGUCCUCACCAUUUUGUAAUGCAGACCCUGGGGCCCAGAAGGGUUAAAUGACUUGCUCAGGGUCCUCCUCCUGUGGAGGAGCUGGACUCCAGACCUCCGGGUUCCUCCCAUCUCACACGAGGGCACAACUCGGCCUGGGCCUCUGUCAGGGCUGCAGGGAAGGGCGAAGUGGGGGUGGUGGGCGCCAGGGAAGAGGUGGGAGGGCUGCCCCUCCCCCACGGCCCGUGGAAGGCACUCACCACUCUGCCCCCAGCGUCGUGGAAGAGGUGCGCUCCAUCCGCUUCAACCAGGAGCAGGAGAAGGAGCUGAUGCAAAAGCGCGUGUCGGUGAGCCUGUCAUUAGAGAACGGGUCCUCCCUGGACAUCCGCGAGAUGACUAACCAGCAAGACUUGUUCACUGCGCUCGUUAACAUGGAAAAGGUUCAUGAUUCUAACACAAAUAUACUCCUUAACAAACACAAGAGCAGCCGCUGAGAGGCAGGAAGGGAGCCGUGGGAGCACAAACACCCAGUGCUGCAUCUUCCUGCAUUCCUGGCAUGGCUUGGCACAUCCUGGCCCAAGCUCAUCCUCUCCCUUACACCCGGGCAGAGGCCAGGGGCUGUGAGAGUAGCAGCAGCUGCAGGGCUUGUGCCUGUGAGCCCCAGGUCCAGAGGAGCCAGGCUGGAGAAGGAUGCUGGAUGAGAGUGGGAGCCCUAGCAGCAAGGACAAGCACAGAAGAGGGGUGCUGGCCAACGUAGCCAGGGUUUGGUCAAAGGGUGGCUAUCCCUGGCCCCCUGCUCUAGCCCAGAGCUGAGUGGGGCCUGAGUGGGCCCAAGCACCAA
Molecule: RNA transcript, 2030 nt
Organism: Cynocephalus volans (Philippine flying lemur)
Lineage: Eukaryota; Metazoa; Chordata; Mammalia; Dermoptera; Cynocephalidae
Gene: CATSPER4
Gene name: cation channel sperm associated 4
Exons: 10
Source: RefSeq, a predicted model, not a curated record